RNAcentral lists this transfer RNA (79 nucleotides) under Streptomyces olivochromogenes. RNAcentral describes it as "tRNA-Arg". Lineage: Bacteria; Bacillati; Actinomycetota; Actinomycetes; Kitasatosporales; Streptomycetaceae. The record is from RNAcentral.
CCGUCUCCGGGAAAUCUCGGGGGCGUCUCAGGGACACCUCCGGGGCGUCUCCGGGUCGUUCGAGGCCACGGGAGGGGGG